Molecule: ribosomal RNA, 490 nt
Filed under: uncultured bacterium
Lineage: Bacteria
Description: partial 16S ribosomal RNA
Rfam family: Bacterial small subunit ribosomal RNA
Source: RNAcentral
GAUGAACGCUAGCGAUAGGCUUUACACAUGCAAGUCGAGGGGCAGCAUGGUCUUAGCUUGCUAAGACUGAUGGCGACCGGCGCACGGGUGCGUAACGCGUAUGCAACUUGCCUCACAGAGGGGGAUAACCCGUCGAAAGACGGACUAAUACCGCGUACACUUGGGAUAGGGCAUCCUGACCCAAGGAAAUGAAAUUCGCUGUGAGAUAGGCAUGCGUCCCAUUAGCUAGUUGGUGAGGUAACGGCUCACCAAGGCGACGAUGGGUAGGGGAACUGAGAGGUUGAACCCCCACACUGGUACUGAGACACGGACCAGACUCCUACGGGAGGCAGCAGUGAGGAAUAUUGGUCAAUGGGCGAGAGCCUGAACCAGCCAAGUCGCGUGAAGGAUGACUGUCUUAUGGAUUGUAAACUUCUUUUAUACGGGAAUAACAAGAGCCACGUGUGGCUCCCUGCAUGUACCGUAUGAAUAAGCAUCGGCUAACUCCGUG